RNAcentral lists this unclassified non-coding RNA (408 nucleotides) under Artemisia gorgonum. RNAcentral's name for it is "partial external transcribed spacer". Lineage: Eukaryota; Viridiplantae; Streptophyta; Magnoliopsida; Asterales; Asteraceae. The record is from RNAcentral.
UCGUAAAGGUGCAUGAGUGGUGUUUGGUUUGUUACGUGUGGUUGGCUGCGGCGUUUGCAACAACUUCCAUGCUUUCAGACCUCUUCAGUUGUGCGGCAAGGCUUGUAUCGCCUUGAGCGUGCUGUGGGUUUUCUGUGUUGGCUACCUAAUCAAUGGUAUCGGUUGGAUUGAUCAAAGUUUGAUUUCGUCUUCCGUCGCAUUCGCGGCGUGGGGUGAACCUCGAUGCGGUCUCUUUGAUCCACCUCGUUGAAGCACAUGCCUCGACGUUGUGGCACAUUGAGCAUUGCUUGGUCUCUUGUAUACGGAACAUAUAGUGGGCAUGGAUCUAACGAUUCUCGUUUGCCCUCAUAUUAGCGUAACGCUUCUCUAACAYGACUUGCGCCACGUUUUAGCUCGUACGGACGUGGU